RNAcentral lists this long non-coding RNA (1136 nucleotides) under Pan troglodytes (chimpanzee). RNAcentral describes it as "lncRNA (ENSPTRG00000054501.1)". Lineage: Eukaryota; Metazoa; Chordata; Mammalia; Primates; Hominidae. The record is from RNAcentral.
UGUUUGUUUAUGUUUUUUAAUUUAACACUUUUUUUCCUAUUAAGACAUUAGGUCCAUGAGAGCAAGGACCAUGUUUGUUUAGUUUACUGCUAUAUUCUCAGUGCCUCUCACCUUGCCUGUCAACAUAAAAGUACUUCUUGAAAGUGGCAGGCAGUAUUUUAUUUUAAACUAUGUAUUUGUUUUGUUUCUAUCUUAGAGCCAUGAAAUGACAAGCACUGGACUGCUACUUGGUGUUUCUGCUGUAAAACUAGGCACCAUGGAUAUGUCUAUUACUCGGCUUCCUAGCAUUCACAUUCCUGCUCUCUUACCCGCAACGUCCACAGAGCUGGAUGUUCCUCACAAUGUCCAAGUGGCUGCAGUGGUUGGCAUUGGCCUUGUAUAUCAAGGGACAGCUCACAGACAUACUGCAGAAGUCCUGUUGGCUGAGAUAGGAUGGCCUCCUGGUCCUGAAAUGGAAUACUGCACUGACAGAAAGUCAUACUCCUUAGCUGCUGGCUUGGCCCUGGGCAUGGUCUGCUUGGGGCAUGGCAGCAAUUUGAUAGGUAUGUCUGAUCUCAAUGUGCCUGAGCAGCUCUAUCAGUACAUGGUUGGAGGACAUAGGCGCUUUCAAACAGGAAUGCAUAGGGAGAAACAUAAAUCACCAAAUUAUCAAAUCAAAGAAGGAGAUACCAUAAAUGUGGAUGUGACUUGUCCAGGUGCUACUCUAGCUUUGGCUAUGAUCUACUUAAAAACCAAUAACAGUGUCUCUAGGAAGCCCAGACACAUGGAGAAGUUCUGAGUGUUUUGGCCGAUAGUCCCAGAUGAGGUUCCAGCAACAGCUGGGAUCACCCAUGAGAUGUGAGUGAGGAAGGCUUUGAGAUGGUUUCAGCCCUAGCCACCACUGACCUCAUGAGAGACCACAAGAAAGAGAAUCACCUGGCCAAGCCCAGCAGACCUUCAGAAUUCAGAAAUAAAAUAAUUCGUCUUAUUUUAAGCCACUGUGUUUUGGUUUGAUUCAUCCCAUAGCAAAAGACAACUUCAACAGGCCCUUUCUGAGGCUCUGGAGGGGCCCUGGCAAUGUAUCCAUUUGGUCAUUUGCUUUUGACAAAAGCAGACAUUUUAGCUGUAAUUGGCUAAAAUUCUGAUCUCUUUCUGCC